CUGGCGGCGUGCCUAAUACAUGCAAGUCGAACGCACUCUCGUUUAGAUUGAAGGAGCUUGCUCCUGAUUGAUAAACAUUUGAGUGAGUGGCGGACGGGUGAGUAACACGUGGGUAACCUGCCCUAAAGUGGGGGAUAACAUUUGGAAACAGAUGCUAAUACCGCAUAAAACCUAACACCGCAUGGUGUAGGGUUGAAAGAUGGUUUCGGCUAUCACUUUAGGAUGGACCCGCGGUGCAUUAGUUAGUUGGUGAGGUAAAGGCUCACCAAGACCGUGAUGCAUAGCCGACCUGAGAGGGUAAUCGGCCACACUGGGACUGAGACACGGCCCAGACUCCUACGGGAGGCAGCAGUAGGGAAUCUUCCACAAUGGACGAAAGUCUGAUGGAGCAACGCCGCGUGAGUGAAGAAGGUUUCGGAUCGUAAACUCUGUUGUUGGAGAAGAAUGUAUCUGAUAGUAACUGAUCAGGUAGUGACGGUAUCCAACCAGAAAGCCACGGCUAACUACGUG
Molecule: ribosomal RNA, 510 nt
Filed under: uncultured bacterium
Lineage: Bacteria
Description: bacterial SSU rRNA
Rfam family: Bacterial small subunit ribosomal RNA
Source: RNAcentral